Long non-coding RNA from Ruditapes philippinarum (Manila clam), 1082 nucleotides. RefSeq lists it as uncharacterized. The transcript is spliced from 2 exons. The record is from RefSeq and is a predicted model, not a curated record. NCBI's taxonomy places the organism in Eukaryota, Metazoa, Mollusca, Bivalvia, Venerida, Veneridae.
AACUCUUUCUAUAAUUAACGUUCACGCAUGCGCACAAUGACUAAUUGAAUUACGUUUCCGCUUACUCUUCUCGUGUUUGAUAGAGGUCAAUUUAUUGAAAAGACAUAUUUGUAGAUAGAAUUUACAUACUGAGACAAUGAAUUUUGAUACAAAGCCCCCUGGUGGUGCUGGUCAGGACAAAAUGGAUCCUAAAGUUCUAGAAUUCAUUCAGCAGCAGCAAGCACAGCAACAAUUAUUACAACAAAUAGAGAAAGUUUCGGAGACAUGCUGGGAUCUAUGUGACAUGACAAUGAGAGACAAGCUUGAUGGGAAACAAGAAACUUGUCUCAAUAAUUGUACUCAGCGCUAUUUUGAUGUUGCAAACUUUAUUGCAGAAAGAUUUAUGCAAAAAGUACAGCAAGCAGGAGGGUCAAUGAGAUAGUACUGAAAAAAACAAAACAUUUUAUACAUCAAAGUUAUUCUGGCUUCAGGAAUGUAAUUAAAAAAAAACUACCAGUAAACAUGCAAGUACAUUAGAUUUGUAAUUUUAAGGAUGUUGAAAAUUCUUUCGCGUGAAAAAUCCAGCUUUUGAUGUGAGGAUAUUACAGUGUACUUGAUGUUGAAAGUGUGAUUCAUUAAAGAACUAUGGAGGGAUAAUAUCUUGUUUGAAACAUGCUCUAAUAAAGUAGUCAUAAUUAUAUAUUGUCAUUAAAACAUUUGAAAAUAGUUAAAACAUAUAAAAUUAUAAGACUUUUUAUACAAAUCUCGAAAAAACAGUCCUUGUGAAUUUUGAUUUGAUAAUGAUCAGAAUUACACAGAGUUUCUGAUGUGUGUAAAUAGAUAUCUAUAUAUAAUGCAUGAUAUCAUUUCUUUCAUAUUUUUUUCAAUGAAAAUUAUUAAUAUCUGUUACAGUAUAAACACUGCAAUCAUAGAUAUAUACACAAUUUUAUAACCAGAUUAGUAUAGUAUGAUAGAAUCCUGGUAAAUGAUUUACAACAGUCGACAUACACAUGGUCUUAAGUAUAUACUAACUGCAUCUUGUUACAUAAAAAAUAUUAUGUCAUUAAGUUUUUAAGUAGGAUGAAAAUAAACAUGUAAAAUAA